This 427-nucleotide ribosomal RNA is filed under the name uncultured bacterium. Its description in RNAcentral is "bacterial SSU rRNA". It matches the Rfam family "Bacterial small subunit ribosomal RNA", at positions 355 to 774 of the family's 1533-position model. The record is from RNAcentral.
UGGGGAAUUUUGGACAAUGGGCGCAAGCCUGAUCCAGCCAUGCCGCGUGCAGGAUGAAGGCCUUCGGGUUGUAAACUGCUUUUGUACGGAACGAAAAGGUGCCUUCUAAUAAAGGGCGCUCAUGACGGUACCGUAAGAAUAAGCACCGGCUAACUACGUGCCAGCAGCCGCGGUAAUACGUAGGGUGCGAGCGUUAAUCGGAAUUACUGGGCGUAAAGCGUGCGCAGGCGGUUUUGUAAGACAGAGGUGAAAUCCCCGGGCUCAACCUGGGAACUGCCUCUGUGACUGCAAGGCUGGAGUGCGGCAGAGGGGGAUGGAAUUCCGCGUGUAGCAGUGAAAUGCGUAGAUAUGCGGAGGAACACCGAUGGCGAAGGCAAUCCCCUGGGCCUGCACUGACGCUCAUGCACGAAAGCGUGGGUAGCAAACA